This 440-nucleotide ribosomal RNA is filed under the name uncultured bacterium. RNAcentral describes it as "bacterial SSU rRNA". It matches the Rfam family "Bacterial small subunit ribosomal RNA", at positions 355 to 786 of the family's 1533-position model. The record is from RNAcentral.
UGGGGAAUCUUCCGCAAUGGGCGAAAGCCUGACGGAGCAAUGCCGCGUGAGUGAAGAAGGCCUUCGGGUUGUAAAACUCUGUCCUUAUCGAAGAGAGGUGGGUAUGUGAAUAAUGUACUCAUAGGACGGUAGAUAAGGAGGAAGCCCCGGCUAACUACGUGCCAGCAGCCGCGGUAAUACGUAGGGGGCGAGCGUUGUCCGGAAUCACUGGGCGUAAAGGGCGCGUAGGCGGUUUAAUAAGUCAGUGGUGAAAACUGAGGGCUCAGCCCUCAGCCUGCCACUGAUACUGUUAGACUUGAGUAUGGAAGAGGAGAAUGGAAUUCCUAGUGUAGCGGUGAAAUGCGUAGAUAUUAGGAGGAACACCAGUGGCGAAGGCGAUUCUCUGGGCCAAGACUGACGCUGAGGCGCGAAAGCGUGGGGAGCAAACAGGAUUAGAUACC